UACGUAGGGUGCAAGCGUUGUCCGGAAUUAUUGGGCGUAAAGAGCUCGUAGGCGGCCUGUCGCGUCGGCUGUGAAAACCCGAGGCUCAACCUCGGGCCUGCAGUCGAUACGGGCAGGCUAGAGUUCGGUAGGGGAGACUGGAAUUCCUGGUGUAGCAGUGAAAUGCGCAGAUAUCAGGAGGAACACCGGUGGCGAAGGCGGGUCUCUGGGCCGUAACUGACGCUGAGGAGCGAAAGCGUGGGGAGCGAAUAGG
This 253-nucleotide ribosomal RNA is filed under the name uncultured bacterium. RNAcentral's name for it is "partial 16S ribosomal RNA". It matches the Rfam family "Bacterial small subunit ribosomal RNA", at positions 524 to 776 of the family's 1533-position model. The record is from RNAcentral.